Molecule: long non-coding RNA, 320 nt
Organism: Labeo rohita (rohu)
Lineage: Eukaryota; Metazoa; Chordata; Actinopteri; Cypriniformes; Cyprinidae
Exons: 3
Source: RefSeq, a predicted model, not a curated record
CCAUGGUGAAAAAUGAUCUAGUCAAUGUGAUUUUGACCAACGACAUCAAAUCAAUCAAUAGUAGGUGAGCACUUGGGAAGAGGAGAGGCGUGAGAGAGAGAGAUAGAGGGGAAGAGAGGGAUGAGAGGAUGUGGGAUUACAUGAAAGAACGGAGUGGUCAUAAAUUUUGCUCAGACAGACGAAUAAAACUUGCGCUAUCCUCCCAGUCCCUCUGGUUUUUCCUCAAGGGCUGGUGGUCCAGGUAUUUGGUCAGCUCGUAUGUCCUCUCUAUGGAGCUCCUCUCGUUGGACAGGAUGAGCGUGCGGUCCAGCACCUGACCG